GAUGAACGCUGGCGGCAGGCUUAAUACAUGCAAGUCGAACGGUAGCAGGCCCGAGCAAUCGGGUGCUGACGAGUGGCGCACGGGUGCGUAACGCGUAUGCAACCUACCCAUGAUCGGGACAUAACGUUGAGAAAUCGGCGCUAAUAUCCCAUGCGAAUAUUGAACGGCAUCGUUCGGUAUUCAAAGAUUUAUUGAUCACGGAUGGGCAUGCGUAUCAUUAGCUAGUUGGCGGGGUAACGGCCCACCAAGGCGACGAUGAUUAGGGGCUCUGAGAGGAGUUUCCCCCACACUGGAACUGAGACACGGUCCAGACUCCUACGGGAGGCAGCAGUAGGGAAUAUUGGGCAAUGGAGGCAACUCUGACCCAGCCAUGCCGCGUGCAGGAAGACGGUCCUAUGGACUGUAAACUGCUUUUAUCACAGAGUAACCGGAGGGACGCGUCCCUCCCUGCAAGUAUGUGAUGAAUAAGCAUCGGCUAACUCCGUGCCAGCAGCCGCGGUAAUACGGGGGAUGCGAGCGUUAUCCGGAUUUAUUGGGUUUAAAGGGUGCGCAGGCGGACCGGUAAGUCAAUGGUGAAAAUCUCCUGCUUAACAGGAGUCGUGCCAAUGAUACUGCCGGACUAGAGUGCAAGCGGUGUGGCUGGAAUGUGGCGUGUAGCGGUGAAAUGCUUAGAUAUGCCACAGAACGCCGAUCGUGAAGACAUGUCACAAACUUGCAACUGACGCUCAUGCACGAAAGCGUGGGGAUCAAACAGGAUUAGAUACCCUGGUAGUCCACGCUGUAAACGAUGAUCACUCGUUGUCGGGGGGCGACCCUCGGUGGCUAAGCGAAAGCGAUAAGUGAUCCACCUGGGGAGUACGAUCGCAAGGUUGAAACUCAAAGGAAUUGACGGGGGCCCGCACAAGCGGAGGAGCAUGUGGUUUAAUUCGAUGAUACGCGAGGAACCUUACCCGGGCUUGAACGUGAGACGAAUGUGGAGGAAACUUCGCAGCCUACGGGCGUCUUGCGAGGUGCUGCAUGGUUGUCGUCAGCUCGUGCCGUGAGGUGUUAGGUUAAGUCCUGCAACGAGCGCAACCCUUACCCGUAGUUGCCAUCGCGUCGUGGCGGGAACUCUACGGGAACUGCCUACGCAAGUAGAGAGGAAGGUGGGGAUGACGUCAAAUCAGCACGGCCCUUAUGUUCGGGGCUACACACGUGCUACAAUGGCAUGUACAGAGGGCAGCGGCCGCGCGAGCGGGAGCGAAUCCUCAAAUCAUGUCUCAGUUCGGAUCGGAGUCUGUAACUCGACUCCGUGAAGUUGGAUUCGCUAGUAAUCGCGCAUCAGCCAUGGCGCGGUGAAUACGUUCCCGGGCCUUGUACACACCGCCCGUCAAGCCAUGGAAGCUGGUGGUACCUAAAGUCCGUGCCCGCAAGGAGCGGCCUAGGGUAAAACUGGUAACUGGGGCU
RNAcentral lists this ribosomal RNA (1446 nucleotides) under uncultured Bacteroidota bacterium. RNAcentral's name for it is "bacterial SSU rRNA". It matches the Rfam family "Bacterial small subunit ribosomal RNA". Lineage: Bacteria; Pseudomonadati; Bacteroidota. The record is from RNAcentral.